GUGGGGAAUAUUGGACAAUGGGCGAAAGCCUGAUCCAGCCAUGCCGCGUGUGUGAAGAAGGUCUUCGGAUUGUAAAGCACUUUAAGUUGGGAGGAAGGGCAGUAAGUUAAUACCUUGCUGUUUUGACGUUACCGACAGAAUAAGCACCGGCUAACUUCGUGCCAGCAGCCGCGGUAAUACGAAGGGUGCAAGCGUUAAUCGGAAUUACUGGGCGUAAAGCGCGCGUAGGUGGUUUUGUAAGUUGGAGGUGAAAUCCCCGGGCUCAACCUGGGAACUGCAUCCAAUACUGCCAGGCUAGAGUACGGUAGAGGGGGGUAGAAUUCCACGUGUAGCGGUGAAAUGCGUAGAGAUGUGGAGGAAUACCAGUGGCGAAGGCGGCCCCCUGGAUCGAUACUGACGCUGAGGUGCGAAAGCGUGGGGAGCAAACAGGAUUAGAUACCCCUGUAGUCC
This 450-nucleotide ribosomal RNA is filed under the name uncultured bacterium. Its description in RNAcentral is "partial 16S ribosomal RNA". It matches the Rfam family "Bacterial small subunit ribosomal RNA", at positions 354 to 796 of the family's 1533-position model. The record is from RNAcentral.